This 292-nucleotide ribosomal RNA is filed under the name uncultured bacterium. RNAcentral's name for it is "partial 16S ribosomal RNA". It matches the Rfam family "Bacterial small subunit ribosomal RNA", at positions 505 to 796 of the family's 1533-position model. The record is from RNAcentral.
GUGCCAGCAGCCGCGGUAAUACGAGGGGGGCAAGUGUUGUUCGGAAUCACUGGGCGUAAAGGGAGCGUAGGCGGGCUCUUAAGUUGGAUGUUUAAAACCGGGGCCCAACCCCGGCGUGGCAUCCAAAACUGGGAGUCUUGAAUGGAACAGAGGCUAGUGGAAUUGGAGGUGUAGCGGUGGAAUGCGUAGAGAUCUCCAAGAACACCCGUUGCGAAGGCGGCUAGCUGGGUUCACAUUGACGCUGAGGCUCGAAAGCGUGGGGAGCAAACAGGAUUAGAUACCCUCGUAGUCC